UACGUAGGGGGCGAGCGUUGUUCGGAAUUACUGGGCGUAAAGGGCGUGUAGGCGGUGCGGUAAGUCGGGCGUGAAAUCCCCGGGCUUAACCCGGGGCGGUCGUUCGAAACUGCCGUGCUAGAGUGCAGGAGAGGGAAGUGGAAUUCCCGGUGUAGCGGUGAAAUGCGCAGAUAUCAGGAGGAACACCGAUGGCGAAGGCAGGUCUCUGGGCCACUACUGACGCUGAGAAGCGAAAGCAUGGGGAGCGAACAGG
Molecule: ribosomal RNA, 253 nt
Filed under: uncultured bacterium
Lineage: Bacteria
Description: partial 16S ribosomal RNA
Rfam family: Bacterial small subunit ribosomal RNA
Source: RNAcentral